This 424-nucleotide ribosomal RNA is filed under the name uncultured bacterium. Its description in RNAcentral is "bacterial SSU rRNA". It matches the Rfam family "Bacterial small subunit ribosomal RNA", at positions 356 to 773 of the family's 1533-position model. The record is from RNAcentral.
GGGGAAUAUUGCACAAUGGGGGAAACCCUGAUGCAGCAACGCCGCGUGAGUGAUGAAGGUUUUCGGAUCGUAAAGCUCUGUUGCCAGGGAAGAACGUCGGGUAGAGUAACUGCUAUCCGAGUGACGGUACCUGAGAAGAAAGCCCCGGCUAACUACGUGCCAGCAGCCGCGGUAAUACGUAGGGGGCAAGCGUUGUCCGGAAUUAUUGGGCGUAAAGCGCGCGCAGGCGGCUGUUUAAGUCUGGUGUAUAAUCCUGGGGCUCAACUCCGGGUCGCACUGGAAACUGGACGGCUUGAGUGCAGAAGAGGAGAGUGGAAUUCCACGUGUAGCGGUGAAAUGCGUAGAGAUGUGGAGGAACACCAGUGGCGAAGGCGACUCUCUGGGCUGUAACUGACGCUGAGGCGCGAAAGCGUGGGGAGCAAAC